This is a non-coding RNA of Poecilia reticulata (guppy), 1813 nucleotides long. The record is from RefSeq and is a predicted model, not a curated record. Lineage: Eukaryota; Metazoa; Chordata; Actinopteri; Cyprinodontiformes; Poeciliidae.
CAAGCCAGUUCUUAGUUAGACGGCAACUUACUUUUUAAAAAAAAUCUUUAUCCAAUUAGUUUGAUAUGAUAUGAAACAUUAAAGUGCAACAAAGCAAGAAUCAGAACAAACAUUUUUAAGAGGGGAAACAACUAUUUAGGACCAACACCACCCACAUAUCUUAUUUUGUAAGCCAGUGACAGACAACUGAUUUUCCAAACUUUUUCUUUUUCUUGCAAGAGCACAAUGGGCCGCAGAUUACAAUUUGUUAACGUUACUAAUCCCUUUUCCCUUCAUUUGACCCCCAUAAUAUUUAUCUUCCCACUCUCGUUACAGCCACGUACAGCGCAGUUUCACAGCUAAGACACAUUCCUCUCCUAAAAUAGGCCCAGAAGGAUCACACGCGCAGCAAAGCCGGAGAGCAGAUAUAAAUCCCUCUCGAGCGAAUCCCCGGUAUGCAUUAGGAGCGCGUUAAAGUGCGUUAUCGUGGUCGUCAUGCAGCUGCAUGGGCCUCUGUCAAACAUGCUGCUUGAGUAGCAGCUGCAUCUGGGGGAGGAUGAUAAGACCCGGGCCAGAACAGAGGAGGACGUCCUCCCUCUCUCACUCAGUGCUUGCCAUGACAACCUGACAAACGGUUACUAAGGAAACAGGAUUACAUCCUAACACUUUACAUGAUUAGAGCUCAUCUCUGCGAUGGUAUCCUUCCUUCAGGAGAUUACCUCCUGGUUCAUUUUUUCUUCAGUUUCUCGGUGGUAAUGGGUCUUUGACUUUUCUGAGGAGGGUUUCGGUGAAUGAGGAUGCUGCUAGUUAGCAUCACAGAUACGACAGGAGGAGGUGAGGCGAGCGGAGUCCAUAACUGCACAGCAGCCAGAAGCAAUCAACAAACCGUACACUCAACACGGAGUGUCUUGACAUUUAAAGUUUUGUUCCAAAUCAAUAAUUUAUUUGAUUAUUACCUCACUACUUAUGACAUACCGUUAUCUCACUCAGGUGUCAGAAUUUGGAGACCUUAAAUCCAAGCAUUCUGCUUCAGAAACACAAACUGGUUGAGCUUCAUAUACAGUAGAAGAUCUUCUAUUCAUAUUUCACCCUAGAUUGUAUUGUGAAAAUUACAAUAACACAUCAAGAAAUAUACCUACCUGUCAGCUCACAUGGAGCAUCUGAGGGCCAAAGCUAAUCUAUUAACUAAUGCUAAUAUAUUUGGGAGGAGCUUUCCAGAACAUUGUCAAUCUUAUCCAAAAAUUCAGCAAAGACUCUAAUUGCAGUUACUGCAAACACGCAAAAUGUUCAAAGCAAAGAUUUAUAAGCUUUGUCUGCUAAUGAACAUACUGGAUUAGCAUAAAAAAAUCACCAUCACAGAUUUAUGUUAUGUCCCUGGUCAUCUGAAAUGUUUGUUUCUUACUACAUAUAUCAGCGUUGUAGGUCAUUGAGUAAGUUGCUCACCAAUAUUAUUGCACACUUUGUAACUAAUGAUAUAGGGCUAUUUUGUUCUAUUCAAUUCUAAAACUUUCCUUUUAGUUGGUUGCAAUGAUUUUUUUAUUUUUUAUUUUUUCUAAGUUAUCACGUUGCGCAACAGUAACAAACCAUUGUGGCUCAGUUUUAUCCUAAUCUGCCAUGAUUCUCGUAUUGUAUUUUUUGGAUCCAAAUAAAAUCCACAACCAUCAGAUUUAUUUCUCCGCCCCUAAUUCAGCUACCUGUUAACAUUUUUACAGAUAUAUUAUACUUAUCAUAAAUACUUCACCAGGUCUCAAGGUGUAUAGUGAACUGACAGGAUCAUGCUGAUAUGUUACAUAAACAGCAGACAAAAACUAAAUAAAACAUUUAUCCCACUGCA